GAUGAAGAACGUAGCGAAAUGCGAUAAGUAGUGUGAAUUGCAGAAUUCAGUGAAUCAUCGAAUCUUUGAACGCACAUUGCGCCUUUUGGAAAAUGCUAAAAGGCAUGCCUGUUCGAGCGUCAUUAAAAAUCUAUUUAAACCUUUUGAUAGGGUUUGCUUUUGAGGGAUGAGGCUGUCACCGGUUCUCACCUUUUAAUUACAAUGGCAGAUAAUUGUAAAUUCUCCUUGCCGGUUUAAAAGAAUGGUAGUAGUAAACAGAAAUUACUUUCUCCUCCGACAUUUUUUACCUAGCACUAAAGGAGUGUUUAUGUUCUAGCCAACUUAACUUUGGACAACUUUGUUUUUGACCUCGAAUCAGGCAGGGAUACCCGCUGAACUUAAGCAUAUCAAUAAGCGGAGGA
This 401-nucleotide unclassified non-coding RNA is filed under the name soil metagenome. RNAcentral describes it as "partial contains 5.8S ribosomal RNA, internal transcribed spacer 2, and large subunit ribosomal RNA". The stretch from base 1 to 122 matches the Rfam family "5.8S ribosomal RNA", at positions 35 to 154 of the family's 154-position model. The record is from RNAcentral.